This 555-nucleotide long non-coding RNA is filed under the name Capsella grandiflora. Its description in RNAcentral is "long non-coding RNA (CGRA_LNC001657)". Lineage: Eukaryota; Viridiplantae; Streptophyta; Magnoliopsida; Brassicales; Brassicaceae. The record is from RNAcentral.
UAGAAAUAGAGAUAGAGAAAUCAUAUGAGAGAAAAGAGGAAAGAGCAAACCGUCUCCUGGCUUUAGAAAGAGAGAUAGAGAAAUCAUAUGAGAGAAAGGAGAAAGGAGCAAAUCCUCUCCUUUAUGGACGACCUUUGAUGAGUACUUUCCUCACCUAUAGAUCUAGAUUUCUUCUACAUGUUUCCCAAUCCAUUUUUAGAUGAAGAGUAAUAUUUUUAUUAAUAUUUUCUAGAGUAAUCAAGAAAAGGGUUGCGAGAAUGUGUUUGGGGAAACCUAGAUCUAGGGAAUGGGAAAGUACUCACCACAGAGAAUUCAAGAUAGUUUGUUUGUUUGUCUCCCUCAGUUUGCAUCAUCUCACAGGACUAGUCAGAUCUGGUAUUUUUCUUUCACGCAUAGUUUCUUCUCUGUUUCUCUUAUACAAUUUAUUUAAUUUUCUAAAGUUAGGAGGCAUGAUAAGAAAAAAAUAAUCCAUAAUCAUCUCUUUAAAGAUUUCUUGUUAUAUCCAAAACGUUUGAUAUCUAAAUAAGAAUUAAUUUUGCCCAUAAAUUGCAUUGA